This 56-nucleotide microRNA precursor is filed under the name Heligmosomoides polygyrus. RNAcentral describes it as "microRNA hpo-mir-5983 precursor". The record is from miRBase by way of RNAcentral. Lineage: Eukaryota; Metazoa; Nematoda; Chromadorea; Rhabditida; Heligmosomidae.
GAGUCUAUCGUGUCUCAAAGCGCGCUCUCAGAUGCUUUGGCACAUGUUAGGCCGGC